This 296-nucleotide long non-coding RNA is filed under the name Ananas comosus (pineapple). RNAcentral describes it as "long non-coding RNA (ACOM_LNC020286)". Lineage: Eukaryota; Viridiplantae; Streptophyta; Magnoliopsida; Poales; Bromeliaceae. The record is from RNAcentral.
CCAAAAUCCAAAAAGUUGAAUUUUUGGUCAGCUCUCGGGUAGCCUUCAGCAGGCUGUGUACCGGUACGGGCUUGGUGGCUGUACCGGUACGGGGUUGAUGGCUGUACCGGUACGGGACCGCGUACCGGUACACAGACGAUUUUGAGGCAAACCCGAGGCUCGGGUUUGGCCAUUUCGUGGGUUGUGUACCGGUACACAAAUCCGUGUACCGGUACGCAGUACAGAUUUUGGCUGUUUUGUUGAGGGGUGUUUUUGCAAUUGUUGCAACGCCUAUAUAAGUCACCCCAGCCCUCAUG